Molecule: ribosomal RNA, 409 nt
Filed under: uncultured bacterium
Lineage: Bacteria
Description: bacterial SSU rRNA
Rfam family: Bacterial small subunit ribosomal RNA
Source: RNAcentral
GUGCCAGCCGCCGCGGUAAUACGGAGGGUGCAAGCGUUAUCCGGAUUCACUGGGUUUAAAGGGUGCGUAGGUGGGACAGUAAGUCAGUGGUGAAAUCCCCGAGCUUAACUUGGGAACUGCCGUUGAUACUAUUGUUCUUGAAUAUCGUGUAGGUAAGCGGAAUAUGUCAUGUAGCGGUGAAAUGCUUAGAUAUGACAUAGAACACCAAUUGCGAAGGCAGCUUACUUUACGAUGAUUGACACUGAGGCACGAAAGCGUGGGGAGCAAACAGGAUUAGAUACCCUGGUAGUCCACGCCCUAAACUAUGGAUACUCGACAUCAGCGAUACACUGUUGGUGUCUGAGCGAAAGCAUUAAGUAUCCCACCUGGGAAGUACGACCGCAAGGUUGAAACUCAAAGGAAUUGGCGG